GACGAACGCUGGCGGCGUGCUUAACACAUGCAAGUCGAACGGAAAGGCCCUGCUUUUGUGGGGUGCUCGAGUGGCGAACGGGUGAGUAACACGUGAGUAACCUGCCCUUGACUUUGGGAUAACUUCAGGAAACUGGGGAUAAUAUCGGAUAGGAGCUCCUGCUGCAUGGUGGGGGAUGGAAAGUUUCGGCGGUUGGGGAUGGACUCGCGGCUUAUCAGCUUGUUGGUGGGGUAGUGGAUUACCAAGGCUUUGACGGGUAGCCGGCCUGAGAGGGUGAACAGGGACAUGGGGCCUGAGAGAGGGAGCAGAGGGCAACGGGAGGCAGCAGGGGGGAGUAUGGCACAGUGGGCGGACGCCUGAGGCGACGGCGCCGCGUGCGGGAAGACGGCCUUUGGGGUAUAAACCGCUUUCGCCUGAGACGAGGCGUGAGUGACGGUAAUGGGUAAAGAAGCACCGGCUAACUACGUG
RNAcentral lists this ribosomal RNA (468 nucleotides) under uncultured bacterium. RNAcentral's name for it is "partial 16S ribosomal RNA". It matches the Rfam family "Bacterial small subunit ribosomal RNA", at positions 28 to 507 of the family's 1533-position model. The record is from RNAcentral.